AACGGCCAUACCUUGCUAAAUAUACCGGUUCUCGUUAUAUCACCGAAGUCAAGCAUCAUUGGGCACGGUCAGUACUUGGGUGGGUGACCACCUGGGAACACCGCGUGCUGUUG
This 113-nucleotide ribosomal RNA is filed under the name Caerostris darwini. Lineage: Eukaryota; Metazoa; Arthropoda; Arachnida; Araneae; Araneidae. The record is from RNAcentral.